This 89-nucleotide transfer RNA is filed under the name Thelonectria olida. It matches the Rfam family "tRNA". From Rfam's summary of the family: Transfer RNA (tRNA) molecules are approximately 80 nucleotides in length. Their secondary structure includes four short double-helical elements and three loops (D, anti-codon, and T loops). Lineage: Eukaryota; Fungi; Ascomycota; Sordariomycetes; Hypocreales; Nectriaceae. The record is from Rfam by way of RNAcentral.
GGCCGCGUGGCCUAAUGGCUAAGGCGUCAGAUUUCGGUACACCGGAACCAUCUCUCUGAAGACUCCAGGUUCGACUCCUGGCGUGGUCG